RNAcentral lists this ribosomal RNA (276 nucleotides) under uncultured bacterium. RNAcentral describes it as "partial 16S ribosomal RNA". It matches the Rfam family "Bacterial small subunit ribosomal RNA", at positions 335 to 627 of the family's 1533-position model. The record is from RNAcentral.
UCCCCUACGGGAGGCAGCAGUGGGGAAUAUUGCACAAUGGGGGAAACCCUGAUGCAGCGACGCCGCGUGAGUGAAGAAGUAUUUCGGUAUGUAAAGCUCUAUCAGCAGGGAAGAAAAAAGACGGUACCUGACUAAGAAGCCCCGGCUAACUACGUGCCAGCAGCCGCGGUAAUACGUAGGGGGCAAGCGUUAUCCGGAUUUACUGGGUGUAAAGGGAGCGUAGACGGUGCGUCAAGUCUGAAGUGAAAGCCCGGGGCUUAACCCCUGGACUGCUUU